GGGGCGGUAGCUCAAUCGGUUAGAGCAGGAGACUCAUAACCUCCCGGUCGUGGGUUCGAGCCCCACCCGCCCUA
RNAcentral lists this transfer RNA (74 nucleotides) under Nocardioides sp. AE5. RNAcentral's name for it is "tRNA-Ile". It matches the Rfam family "tRNA". Rfam says of the family: Transfer RNA (tRNA) molecules are approximately 80 nucleotides in length. Their secondary structure includes four short double-helical elements and three loops (D, anti-codon, and T loops). The record is from RNAcentral. Lineage: Bacteria; Bacillati; Actinomycetota; Actinomycetes; Propionibacteriales; Nocardioidaceae.